CGCUGGAAACGGCGUCUAAUACUGGAUAUGUGACGUGACCGCAUGGUCUGCGUCUGGAAAGAAUUUCGGUUGGGGAUGGGCUCGCGGCCUAUCAGCUUGUUGGUGAGGUAAUGGCUCACCAAGGCGUCGACGGGUAGCCGGCCUGAGAGGGUGACCGGCCACACUGGGACUGAGACACGGCCCAGACUCCUACGGGAGGCAGCAGUGGGGAAUAUUGCACAAUGGGCGCAAGCCUGAUGCAGCAACGCCGCGUGAGGGACGACGGCCUUCGGGUUGUAAACCUCUUUUAGCAGGGAAGAAGCGAAAGUGACGGUACCUGCAGAAAAAGCGCCGGCUAACUACGUGCCAGCAGCCGCGGUAAUACGUAGGGCGCAAGCGUUAUCCGGAAUUAUUGGGCGUAAAGAGCUCGUAGGCGGUUUGUCGCGUCUGCUGUGAAAUCCGGAGGCUCAACCUCCGGCCUGCAGUGGGUACGGGCAGACUAGAGUGCGGUAGGGGAGAUUGGAAUUCCUGGUGUAGCGGUGGAAUGCGCAGAUAUCAGGAGGAACACCGAUGGCGAAGGCAGAUCUCUGGGCCGUAACUGACGCUGAGGAGCGAAAGGGUGGGGAGCAAACAGGCUUAGAUACCCUGGUAGUCCACCCCGUAAACGUUGGGAACUAGUUGUGGGGUCCAUUCCACGGAUUCCGUGACGCAGCUAACGCAUUAAGUUCCCCGCCUGGGGAGUACGGCCGCAAGGCUAAANCUCAAAGGAAUUGACGGGGACCCGCACAAGCGGCGGAGCAUGCGGAUUAAUUCGAUGCAACGCGAAGAACCUUACCAAGGCUUGACAUAUACGAGAACGGGCCAGAAAUGGUCAACUCUUNGGACACUCGUAAACAGGUGGUGCAUGGUUGUCGUCAGCUCGUGUCGUGAGAUGUUGGGUUAAGUCCCGCAACGAGCGCAACCCUCGUUCUAUGUUGCCAGCACGUAAUGGUGGGAACUCAUGGGAUACUGCCGGGGUCAACUCGGAGGAAGGUGGGGAUGACGUCAAAUCAUCAUGCCCCUUAUGUCUUGGGCUUCACGCAUGCUACAAUGGCCGGUACAAAGGGCUGCAAUACCGCGAGGUGGAGCGAAUCCCAAAAAGCC
Molecule: ribosomal RNA, 1122 nt
Filed under: Microbacterium sp.
Lineage: Bacteria; Bacillati; Actinomycetota; Actinomycetes; Micrococcales; Microbacteriaceae
Description: bacterial SSU rRNA
Rfam family: Bacterial small subunit ribosomal RNA
Source: RNAcentral